This 450-nucleotide long non-coding RNA is filed under the name Rattus norvegicus (Norway rat). Its description in RNAcentral is "long non-coding RNA NONRATT006177". Lineage: Eukaryota; Metazoa; Chordata; Mammalia; Rodentia; Muridae. The record is from RNAcentral.
GCACCAAGGAAAAGGCCACGUCUUCCCUCAAGGAAGGCUUUAGAGUGCAGGGCUAAGCUGCAGGGACUAGUUAGUCUCUUGGGACAAGUGUGCUUCAUGGUCUCCUUGCUAAUUCUGGUCCCCUCUGCCUGCCUGACAACCACUGUAUCAGCAUUCCACCAGGGACUCCUGGUUACUUUCCUGUAUAAGGCCAGGUCUUCAGGGACUUGGGAAAGGGUCCCUCUAUGUCCUCUUAGAGUCCUAGGGAUGCUCUUGACCUGUGCUGUCACCAAGCAGCCUUCACACAGGGCAGACCUCAGUCACAGAAGCAGCCGCCGAGCCUGUUGAGACAAACACUACAAUCCCAUGGCCUUCACAAGAGGCCUGCGCUCCCUUGCAGGCAGUCAGCACCUCGUGAGGCUAAAGCUGCUGUCCCCUCAGCCAGGCCUUAAUGCUUGCAGCUUUCCUACU